GACGAACCGUCCGAACGUUAUUCGGUAUUACUGGGCUUAAAGAGUUCGUAGGCGGCCAGAUAGGUCAGAUGUGAAAUCCCUCGGCUCAACCGAGGAAUUGCGUUUGAAACCGUCAGGCUUGAGGAAGAUAGAGGUGAGCGGAACAGAUGGUGGAGCGGUGAAAUGCGUUGAUAUCAUCUGGAACACCGGUGGCGAAAGCGGCUCACUGGAUCUUUUCUGACGCUGAGGAACGAAAGCUAGGGUAGCGAACGGGAUUAGAUACCCCGGUAGUCCUAGCCGUAAACGAUGAGCACUAGUCUGUGGGGACCCUCACAUCCUCUCGGACGUAGCGAAAGUAUUAAGUGCUCCGCCUGGGGAGUAUGGUCGCAAGGCUGAA
Molecule: ribosomal RNA, 376 nt
Filed under: uncultured bacterium
Lineage: Bacteria
Description: bacterial SSU rRNA
Rfam family: Bacterial small subunit ribosomal RNA
Source: RNAcentral